This 459-nucleotide ribosomal RNA is filed under the name uncultured bacterium. RNAcentral describes it as "partial 16S ribosomal RNA". It matches the Rfam family "Bacterial small subunit ribosomal RNA", at positions 338 to 795 of the family's 1533-position model. The record is from RNAcentral.
CCUACGGGUGGCAGCAGUGAGGAAUAUUGGUCAAUGGGCGCGAGCCUGAACCAGCCAAGUCGCGUGAGGGAAGACGGUCCUAUGGAUUGUAAACCUCUUUUGUCGGGGAGCAAAAGACGCCACGCGUGGCGUUCCGAGAGUACCCGAAGAAAAAGCAUCGGCUAACUCCGUGCCAGCAGCCGCGGUAAUACGGAGGAUGCGAGCGUUAUCCGGAUUUAUUGGGUUUAAAGGGUGCGCAGGCGGAAGAUCAAGCCAGCGGUAAAAUUGAGAGGCUCAACCUCUUCGAGCCGUUGAAACUGGGUGUCUUGAGUGAGGGAGAAGUAUGCGGAAUGCGUGGUGUAGCGGUGAAAUGCAUAGAUAUCGCGCAGAACUCCGAUUGCGAAGGCAGCAUACCGGCGCUCAACUGACGCUCAUGCACGAAAGUGUGGGUAUCGAACAGGAUUAGAUACCCCAGUAGUC